This 301-nucleotide ribosomal RNA is filed under the name uncultured bacterium. RNAcentral's name for it is "partial 16S ribosomal RNA". It matches the Rfam family "Bacterial small subunit ribosomal RNA", at positions 509 to 809 of the family's 1533-position model. The record is from RNAcentral.
CAGUAGCCGCGGUAAUACGUAGGGUGCAAGCGUUAAUCGGAAUUACUGGGCGUAAAGCGUGCGCAGGCGGUUUGUUAAGACAGAUGCUAAAUCCCCGGGCUCAACCUGGGAACUGCAUUUGUGACUGGCAAACUAGAGUGAGGCAGAGGGGGGUGGAAUUCCGCGUGUAGCAGUGAAAUGCGUAGAUAUGCGGAGGAACACCGAUGGCGAAGGCAGCCCCCUGGGCCAACACUGACGCUCAUGCACGAAAGCGUGGGGAGCAAACAGGAUUAGAUACCCGUGUAGUCCCUGUCUCUUAUCC